Molecule: ribosomal RNA, 253 nt
Filed under: uncultured bacterium
Lineage: Bacteria
Description: partial 16S ribosomal RNA
Rfam family: Bacterial small subunit ribosomal RNA
Source: RNAcentral
UACAGAGGGUGCAAGCGUUGUUCGGAAUUAUUGGGCGUAAAGCGCGUGUAGGCGGCUUUGCAAGUCGGGUGUGAAAGCCCUCAGCUUAACUGAGGAAGUGCGCCCGAAACUGCUCGGCUUGAGUACCGGAGAGGAUGGCGGAAUUCCCCAAGUAGAGGUGAAAUUCGUAGAUAUGGGGAGGAACACCGGUGGCGAAGGCGGCCAUCUGGACGGAUACUGACGCUGAGACGCGAAAGCGUGGGUAGCAAACAGG